UUUGUUCCAUUCAUUUCAAGCCUUAUUCCCCAUCAUUACCCAACAUGUAGAAACUGUGAGAGGAAGUGAGGAUUCAGUAACUUGGUGAAAGCAAAAGAGAAAAGAAAGGUCAAGAAAAAGAAAAGAAAAAAAGAAAUCUUGUUGUGAUGAAAAGAAAAGAAAAUAACAGGUCUAAAAUAGAGAAAAAAAAAGAAAGGGCAAAAGAAUUGACAGAAAACUGAGACCUGACAAAGUUGAAAACCAAAGAGAAAGAAAAAAGAGAUUGGACUGGCC
This 273-nucleotide long non-coding RNA is filed under the name Vigna radiata. RNAcentral describes it as "long non-coding RNA (VRAD_LNC001155)". Lineage: Eukaryota; Viridiplantae; Streptophyta; Magnoliopsida; Fabales; Fabaceae. The record is from RNAcentral.